Molecule: ribosomal RNA, 718 nt
Filed under: uncultured Pseudomonadota bacterium
Lineage: Bacteria; Pseudomonadati; Pseudomonadota
Description: bacterial SSU rRNA
Rfam family: Bacterial small subunit ribosomal RNA
Source: RNAcentral
AGGAUUAGAUACCCUGGUAGUCCACGCCGUAAACGAUGUCAACUAGUUGUUGGGGAUUCAUUUCCUUAGUAACGUAGCUAACGCGUGAAGUUGACCGCCUGGGGAGUACGGUCGCAAGAUUAAAACUCAAAGGAAUUGACGGGGACCCGCACAAGCGGUGGAUGAUGUGGAUUAAUUCGAUGCAACGCGAAAAACCUUACCUACCCUUGACAUGGUCGGAACCCUGGUGAGAGCUGGGGGUGCUCGAAAGAGAACCGACACACAGGUGCUGCAUGGCUGUCGUCAGCUGCUGUGUCGUGAGAUGUUGGGUUAAGUCCCGCAACGAGCGCAACCCUUGUCCUUAGUUGAUACGCAAGAGCACUCUAAGGAGACUGCCGGUGACAAACCGGAGGAAGGUGGGGAUGACGUCAAGUCCUCAUGGCCCUUAUGGGUAGGGCUUCACACGUCAUACAAUGGUCGGAACAGAGGGUCGCUAAGCCGCGAGGUGGAGCCAAUCCCAGAAAACCGAUCGUAGUCCGGAUCGUAGUCUGCAACUCGACUACGUGAAGCUGGAAUCGCUAGUAAUCGCGGAUCAGCAUGCCGCGGUGAAUACGUUCCCGGGUCUUGUACAGCACCGCCCGUCACCACCCAUGGGAGUGGGUUUUACCAGAAUGUGGCUAGUCUAACCGCAAUGGAGGACCGGUCAUCCACGGUAGGAUUCAUGAUCUGGGGUGAAGUC